Long non-coding RNA from Bufo bufo (common toad), 619 nucleotides. RefSeq lists it as uncharacterized. The transcript has 5 exons. Lineage: Eukaryota; Metazoa; Chordata; Amphibia; Anura; Bufonidae. The record is from RefSeq and is a predicted model, not a curated record.
UUCAGAUGCAAAGGAAAAUGGCAGGGAAUACGAUGUCACAUCCAUUCUCCUGAAGUAUCUCUGAAUGCUCCAGAAACUGAUAACACAGGUCUGUGGAUUGGUAUUAGUAUUGGAUUAGCGUUUCUAUUGACGGGAGCUAUUAUUGUCUUCUUAUUCUACUCCUGUAAAAGGAAACAUAAAGGCAAUAUUACCAGUGGGUUUUCCAAUCCAAAUUAUGCAGGGAGCAGCACGACUUCUCCGAACGAGUUUUAUAAUACGGUGCAUCCUAAUGUCCAUAUCAGCGUUUUUCCCUGGAAAUCAGCCCAUGAGGUACAUGGUUCCAGGAAGGCCUGUUCAUUCUCCAACCCUCUGUAUGGCAAAAAAGAAGACCUGUAAUUUCCAUGUCACCUUCAUCUCGCUGCGUGCAGAAAUUUUUUAGAGAUAAAUUAUGAUAUCAUUUACAGAGGCAGCGAUUGUUAAUGUAAAUACCGCCUGCUGCUGCAGACAGACAAAGCAGGUAAUAAGUGCUUUCUGCGUGACAGAUAUUAAUACUCGCCAUCGGCUCGCGGGGAAAAGCGCCUGCAAAUGGAUGAGUUACUGGCGGAUAAUGGAGCCAAACAUUACCACAUGGAAGAAAUCC